CACUAGACAUACACACACUUCUGGUAAAUGCUGCUUUAUUGGUUGAACUCCCCCCCCCCCUCCAAGAAAGCAAAAAAAUCAGGCAACUAUCUAGGCAACCUCCUCCCCGAAAAAUACAGAUCUGUAAUAAAGCCAUGUAGCUACAGAGGAGCCUACAGCUCCUCUAAUGCAGCAUCAGCUUUGGUAACAAACUUGUCAAAUAAGUUAGUUAAGAGUAGUUUGAAUUCUAAAAGGCAUAUGGCAGCUUGGACAAUUCAUAAGCUACCACCCCAUCCAAUUCUGGCUGCUUAUUCAGCAAUUCGCAAAGCCCAGCUGUAGCUACUUUGAUAAUCUUUGUCACAUUGUGAAUCAUUACUUGAGUGAUGUAUCUCAUUGGAGGAUGGGAUCUUCCUUUUGAAGCCUCUUCCACUCUGC
Long non-coding RNA from Gopherus evgoodei (Goodes thornscrub tortoise), 414 nucleotides. RefSeq lists it as uncharacterized. NCBI's taxonomy places the organism in Eukaryota, Metazoa, Chordata, Testudines, Testudinidae. The transcript is spliced from 2 exons. The record is from RefSeq and is a predicted model, not a curated record.